Molecule: long non-coding RNA, 532 nt
Filed under: Rhinopithecus bieti (black snub-nosed monkey)
Lineage: Eukaryota; Metazoa; Chordata; Mammalia; Primates; Cercopithecidae
Description: lncRNA (ENSRBIG00000045480.1)
Source: RNAcentral
GAGGAUGAAGGAAGCAGAAGGAAGACCACACUGGAAGGACCUUCAUUAAAUAGGAAGCCAUCAGCAGCAUCCUUUCAUGAGAAAUCAGAAGUGGGGGCAGGCGAUGACUGGGAAGAGGUGACCAGCAGAGUGGUGAGACAGGAGAGAUCGGAACUCAGGUGUCUGAGUCCCGGGCACCCCCGCUGCAUGGUUGGUGCUCCCUCUCUGUUGCUCGCAGCUGCUCCAGCUGCUGCUGCUGGCCAUCCCCAGUGUCUGGAAGGUGGCAUGCCGAGGGAUACUGCAGAGUCCUUUCUAGGAGGGAGUCCACACAGGCCACCUCUGGGACAGGAACAACAAAUCUUGCAGCAGCGGUGGUCGGCACUCAAUUUAUAAGCACAAUUUUUUCUGCAAAGAUCUCCUCCCCGCCCAGCUUAUAAUUUAAAUUGUGUUCAAGGGAAACAAGCUGAGUAUUCUAAAACCCAAAGACACUCAUAACAUGGAAUGCGAUAAAAGUCUGGAGGAAAAGUGGUUUACUCUGAUAUGUUUUUCACCU